UGCAAAAGCAAGAAAUCUUCAAUUGCACAGUAUUGCGCAAUAGCAAGAAAUAUCUAGUUACACAAUAUUGCGCAAUAGCAAGAAAUUUCCAAUUGCACAAUUUUUAUGAAAUAUUCUUUGAAAAUUGGAGAUAUCUUUCUUUGUCCAGAAUUGUAAUUGAAUCAACUUAAAUCAUUGUUUUAUACAAUAUAUAAUGUAUAUUCACUUUUACUACCAAC
This 218-nucleotide long non-coding RNA is filed under the name Mytilus galloprovincialis (Mediterranean mussel). Lineage: Eukaryota; Metazoa; Mollusca; Bivalvia; Mytilida; Mytilidae. The record is from RNAcentral.